AUAACCUGGAGGAAGGUGGGGAUGACGUCAAAUCAUCAUGCCCCUUAUGCUUAGGGCUACACACGUGCUACAAUGGGUAGUACAGAGGGUUGCCAAGCCGUAAGGUGGAGCUAAUCCCUUAAAGCUAUUCUCAGUUCGGAUUGUAGGCUGAAACUCGCCUACAUGAAGCUGGAGUUACUAGUAAUCGCAGAUCAGAAUGCUGCGGUGAAUGCGUUCCCGGGUCUUGUACACACCGCCCGUCACACCACGGGAG
Molecule: ribosomal RNA, 253 nt
Filed under: Clostridioides difficile
Lineage: Bacteria; Bacillati; Bacillota; Clostridia; Peptostreptococcales; Peptostreptococcaceae
Description: partial 16S ribosomal RNA
Rfam family: Bacterial small subunit ribosomal RNA
Source: RNAcentral